GCGGAUGUGGCUCAGUGGUAGAGCACAACCUUGCCAAGGUUGGGGUCGCGGGUUCGAAUCCCGUCAUCCGCU
RNAcentral lists this transfer RNA (72 nucleotides) under Frankiaceae bacterium. RNAcentral describes it as "tRNA-Gly". It matches the Rfam family "tRNA". From Rfam's summary of the family: Transfer RNA (tRNA) molecules are approximately 80 nucleotides in length. Their secondary structure includes four short double-helical elements and three loops (D, anti-codon, and T loops). RNAcentral also lists the same sequence under 1 other name. The record is from RNAcentral. Lineage: Bacteria; Bacillati; Actinomycetota; Actinomycetes; Frankiales; Frankiaceae.